This 318-nucleotide long non-coding RNA is filed under the name Brassica napus (rape). RNAcentral's name for it is "long non-coding RNA (BNAP_LNC009170)". The record is from RNAcentral. Lineage: Eukaryota; Viridiplantae; Streptophyta; Magnoliopsida; Brassicales; Brassicaceae.
ACAAUUGGGUGAAUAUACUCAAAUCGCUGAAAAAUUAAGUAACUACCCGAAACAAUGAAAAACUCAUGUUCACUGUAGAUAAUUGUGUCCUCCUUUCCCAUUUUACCUCUGCCCUAAAGUUUCAUCUUGUUUCUCUUUCUUUCCCGAACUCAUACCUCUUUCAUCUAUCUAUUUCUCUCCCAAUUAUCUCAACCUUUGUUAAGAUUAAAGCUUCAUUUCAAAUCAAUCAAUCUUCUUCUUAAAUCUCCAAAUCAUGAUCUACUAUGUUUCCAACGCCAAUCAUACGAUAACCUCCUCAUCUUCUUAAAUCUCCAAAUC